Lates calcarifer (barramundi perch) is the source of this 559-nucleotide long non-coding RNA. RefSeq lists it as uncharacterized. The record is from RefSeq and is a predicted model, not a curated record. NCBI's taxonomy places the organism in Eukaryota, Metazoa, Chordata, Actinopteri, Centropomidae. The transcript has 4 exons.
GCAUGGCUUCACCUCCUUUAUAAAGACGGGCACUUCACAGCUGGUAGGCACAGAGAAUCAGAUCACCUGUAUCUCUUCUGUAUCUCUACCUCUCCUGUAUCUUUGCUCUCUCUUCCAGUCUUUGGCUGCAACUAUCAAUCUGUGUGCAGGAUGACGUUUGUCAUGAUCUUUCUUGUGUUGACACUGGUCGUCUUCAUGGCUGAAACUGGGGAGUGCCGCUGUUUUAUUGGACGAGCAUUGGCAGAUAUGAGAGCCAAGCGUGAUGCUGACACAUCAGGAGGGGAUGGGAAGCCAACAGAUUCCGACUUGAGAAAAAUUCGGAGAAGAACGGGGUGCAACUUUGGUUAGAGGUCUCACCAAGACGCAGUCUCUCAGCUGUAUGAUUUGGGGGGAAUUGCAUUGCCCCUUACGUUUGCUUUGUGCUUUGUAAUGCAGGAAAUACGUGGAUAAACAAACAAACAGACCAGUGAUCUCAGCUCUAACUGGUUUUGGAAAAAUGUCAAAUUGCUUGAUAUUGCAAAAUGCCCUGAUGAAUAAAACUGCAUAAUAAAAAGUCAAA